CGGCAUCAGCUCAAAUUUGAAAUCUGGCUCUUUCAGAGUCCGAGUUGUAAUUUGCAGAGGGCGCUUUGGUGUCGGCAGCGGUCCAAGUUCCUUGGAACAGGACGUCACAGAGGGUGAGAAUCCCGUACGUGCCCGGUGGCCGCCCCCGUGUGAAGCUCCUUCGAC
RNAcentral lists this ribosomal RNA (165 nucleotides) under Pyrenochaetopsis sp. RNAcentral describes it as "partial large subunit ribosomal RNA". It matches the Rfam family "Eukaryotic large subunit ribosomal RNA", at positions 99 to 261 of the family's 3401-position model. Lineage: Eukaryota; Fungi; Ascomycota; Dothideomycetes; Pleosporales; Pyrenochaetopsidaceae. The record is from RNAcentral.